Fukomys damarensis (Damara mole-rat) is the source of this 81-nucleotide unclassified non-coding RNA. Lineage: Eukaryota; Metazoa; Chordata; Mammalia; Rodentia; Bathyergidae. The record is from Ensembl.
AUCACGUUCCCAUGUAUGUGAGUAUUCAAUCAAAGACAUUUGGUUGUUUUCCAAAAUUGGCUCUCUCUUAAAGGUCAAAAC